Molecule: long non-coding RNA, 243 nt
Filed under: Phoenix dactylifera (date palm)
Lineage: Eukaryota; Viridiplantae; Streptophyta; Magnoliopsida; Arecales; Arecaceae
Description: long non-coding RNA (PDAC_LNC011327)
Source: RNAcentral
AGGACCCUUGGAAGAAAAGAAAUCCAGAAAAAGGACCUUCCCUUUUCUCUUUCUUUCUUUCUUCUCUUUCUUUCUUUCUUCGGUUUCUUUUCUCCCAUUUCUUCACAGCACGCCUGGGCCACAGACGCCCGUCUCUUGAUCCUGAUCACAGAGGGAAUGGAAGGGAGGAGAGGACACCGGAUCUGGGCCGAACUCCAAACCACCAGAGAGAAAGGACUCCUUCCUCUCUCUUCUUCUUCUUCU